GCCCUUUUCCGGUUGAUCCCGCCGGAAGCCAUUGCUAUCAGGGUUUGACUAAGCCAUGCGAGUCGAGAGGUGUAAGACCUCGGCAUACUGCUCAGUAACACGUGGUUAACCUGCCCUAAGGUGGAGCAUACUCCCGGGAAACUGGGGCUAAUCCUCCAUAGUGGAUGUAUCCUGGAAUGGUAUAUCCUCGAAAGAUCCGUCGCCUUAGGAUGGGACUGCGUCCGAUUAGGUUGUUGGCGGGGUAACGGCCCACCAAGCCAUUGAUCGGUACGGGUUGUGGGAGCAAGAUCCCGGAGAUGGAUUCUGAGACAUGAAUCCAGGCCCUACGGGGCGCAGCAGGCGCGCAAACUUUACAAUGCGAGCAAUCGUGAUAAGGAAACCCUGAGUGCCUGUCGAUGCAGGCUGUUCAUAUAUCUAAAUCAUAUGUGAAGAAAGGGCAGGGCAAGACCGGUGCCAGCCGCCGCGGUAAUACCGGCUGCUCGAGUGAUGGCCACUAUUACUGGGUUUAAAGCGUCCGUAGCUUGACUGUUAGGUCUCUUGGGAAAUCUUCGCGCUCAACGUGAAGGCGUCUAAGAGAUACCGGCAGUCUUGGAACUGGGAGAGGUAAACCGUACUUCGGGGGUAGGAGUGAAAUCUUGUAAUCCUCGAGGGACGACCUAUGGCGAAGGCAGUUUACCAGAACAGCUUCGACAGUGAGGGACGA
Molecule: ribosomal RNA, 703 nt
Filed under: uncultured archaeon
Lineage: Archaea
Description: bacterial SSU rRNA
Rfam family: Archaeal small subunit ribosomal RNA
Source: RNAcentral